RNAcentral lists this long non-coding RNA (3202 nucleotides) under Eucalyptus grandis. RNAcentral describes it as "long non-coding RNA (EGRA_LNC004718)". The record is from RNAcentral. Lineage: Eukaryota; Viridiplantae; Streptophyta; Magnoliopsida; Myrtales; Myrtaceae.
CGCACAAUUGAUACAUCCAUACAAUUGAGGGGGAGACGUUCGUUGACUAUAGGUCAAACGGAGCCCAGAACGCAGCAAGUUCCAGUGCUGAUCCGACGAAAUCAAACCAGCGGACUCCAAGCGGCGUCACAGCAGUUUGUUAUCGAUCCCAGCAGCGCCCUCGGCUUCUCUAGCAAGCACUCAGACCUUCAAGCGUCAAUUGAGCCACCAGUGGACUCCCGAACGCAGAUCUUGGAGCCUUACCAAGUUGCUGCUUUAGCGAAAUUUCUUAGACGAUUACACGGUAUCUAACUCUUGGCUUUCCUCGACAGUUUGUUGGGGCAAUUCAAGUCCAAUUCAGUGAGCUUCAACACCACCAAAAUCCAGUCCCGACAUCCAAGUCUGAGCUGUGAGCCUCGCCGAGCAUUACCAUAUCACUCGCGAGUAGCCGUAACCGUUCGAGGAUUGGAAUUUGGGAGCCAAUAUUCGGAAUAGGUAAAAAUUUUGUCUAUUUUGAUUUCCGAAAAAUCCGUUUCCUUAUUUGAUAUAUUCGUUGAUGCACAUGAUUGAAAUCCCUAGCGUGAUAUUCGCAACUCGAGGGGCUCUCAAAUUAGGGAUUGACAGUCCGAUUUUCACGCUCGAAAUCCGACUCGCAAUUCCUUACAAAAAUCGACAAUCCAAUCUCAAGCCCGAGAUUCGAUUCGCGAUUUAAUUUAAAAUUGGCUAACCCGAUCUCAUGCGCGAGAUAUGGUUCGUCAAUUUUUGGAUAUCAAUCUUAUCUUUUGUUUGAUUUGUUAUCGUCAAGUUGGUUGAGUCAAAUCUUAUUUUCGUAAAAUAAAAAAUCAAAAAAAUCUUAAUUAGGAUUAGGUUUGUUGUCAUCUUGCAUAUUUAGGAUAGCAAUCUUAUUUCGAAUUUUUAAAUAAAAAAUCCAAAAAAGAAAGUGCAAUCAUUUAGGUUGUUAGUUUUGCAUGUUAGUUUUAAUUUCGAAUUUCUUAAAGAAAAACACAAAAAAAAUCAGUGUGCAUAUUAGAUUAGAAUUGCAUGUUUCAUUUUAAAUUUAGAUAAUUUUUUAUAGAUAAAUUGCAUUUUAGAUUUAGAUAAUGUCUUAGUUUAAAUUAGGAUUUAAUAUGACUUAAUCCCUAGUUUAAAUUAGAUAAAAUCUUAAUCUAGCUAGGUCAUUUCAAAUUUCAUAAAAUUUGUCUUAGGAUAAAUUAGUUGCAAUUUCUAGGAUAGAUUGCAUUUUCAAAAUAAAAAAUGUCAUUUGCAUGUCAUUUAGUGAUUAUUGUUAGGUUCAUUUCUAAUUAGAAAUUGCCCGUCAUUAGAUUAGGUCAUUAGAUUAAUUUAGAUUGCAUAUUUAAAUGUUGCCUUUCUUUAAUUUCGAAUCUCAUAGAAAAUACAAAAAAAAAUUAUUUAGAAUAAAUCAUCUCAUGCUUAGGAUAGAUUACAUGCUUAGUUAUGUCAUAUUGCUUAGGUCAUAUAGCUAAGUCAUGUUGCCAUGUCAUAUCAUUUCAUGUUAAAUUAGUGGCAUGCAUUGCAUAUUGCAUGAUUUUCAUUAAUUAGGUGAAAACAAAACAAAAAAAUUGCGUGUUAAUUAGAAAUCAUAUCUAGGGCUGCUGAUGUGAAUUUUGAUUUAACAAUGCAGAUGCUUUCGUUGCUCCUAGGUAUGUUUUGCAAUAUUUAAUUGCUUUCUUGAGUGUUAAAUUGGUGGUAUGCGCACAUGUAUGAUCACCUCACACGUUAGGAAGUUAAAUUAAAAUCAAUUCAAUUGCCAAACAUUUUUGAAAAUAAAAAGAAUGGUACCGAAAGGGCAUUAGAGAAAUCUAAUGUAAUCAAGUCCCCGUACCCUUAGUCUCUGGUUCGUAGGAGUAACGUAAUUCUCCCAUUAUUUUACUUAGGUGUCUAAUCGACCUACCAUAAACUGAUUAGUGGCGACUCCUAAAUAAAAUCAAUUUGCAUGUUAAGAAUUCAAACCUAAGUCGCGAAUUGGUAUGGGCUUGGGAGAGCCCGAGUUAAGUUUAGGCUUAACAAUCCAUUAGCCAAACCCUAGGUGGUUCAUAACCCGAAAAAUUGGUCGCGACAGCUUGGCGACUCCGCUGGGGACUUGAGUUGAAAUUCUUAGUGGACUUAGGCCAAUUUUCUUUUUUGAAAAAAUGCUUUUGUUUGGCAGCGAGGAUUCCAGGUACGUCCCUAACAUUUAGGUGUUAAAUGUUCUUGCAGAUUUGGAGGUAUAAGGGGAAGUGUUUGCUAACCUUUGUUAUGCAGGGAGGUGUAGGAAUGUAUGGUUUACUUUCAUAUAUGAAGUGCUGCUUGAUAUAAAUUGUCAUGCAUGCCUUGCAUUUAUCACUACACUUUGCACACACAACCUGCCGCCGGACCUGGGCCGCACAGGAUCAUUUAGGAUGGUGUUGAGGUGGAUACCACUCCGACCGCAUGCUCGCGGUACGAGUCGCCCAUCUCAAUCCCGAACUUUCUUUCAUGGUGUCAAGAGUACCCACCUCGGUCCGCAUGCUCGCGACCCGGGUCGGCUCUUUGACCAAGCCGGAGUCAUGAGGACCCGACAUAGUCCACAAGCCCGUGGCUAGUCCGAUCAUCCUUGUGGCUCCAUCUUGAUAAGUCUUAUAGAUUAGAAAUCGAGCCACUUACCAUACGCAUGUAUAUGUGAUUGCCAUUAAUUUUCCUUGGCGAAGUAAGUCUUCUAUCCCUAUACCAUGCAAUUUAUUUUGUCAUAUUCUUGGGUCGGUCCAUGACAAUCUAGGUCAAUCAUUGAUUUGAUUCAUUUGUCAAUUGGAAAUGAAAUGAGAAAUUGCUAGGGAAUGAUGAAUUUUAAAAAAAAAACUUUGGAGAAUUUGUUUUCAAUUCAUGUUUAGGAAAUUUGGUCUUGUUAGGAUGUCUAUCUUUAUUUUCCUAGUCCAUUUUUAGGAAAUGCCCUUCUUGGAAGAACUUUUCAUGAAUAAAUGAAAAAAAUGGAAAAAUUGAUUAGAUCAUUGUCAUGGAUCGACUUUCUAUUUACCCUCAUGCUUACAUGUUCCUGUUUAUUUGAAUUAGGUGGUUAUGGAACGAUCCCGCUCACUCAUCCGUUCACGAUCGAGAGUUAAAAUGAUGGAUCAAAAAGAGCUUAUCUCGUCAAGCAAAAAUGCUGCAAUCUAUCUUUAGUGAGAAAUUGCAACUCCAAGAAGAGAGCCAAGAAGACCUUUUGAAUCUUCUCAUUUUCCUGAGGUAGUCG